UUAGGAAUAUUCGUCAAUGGGGGGAACCCUGAACGAGCAAUGCCGCGUGUGCGAAGAAGGCCCUAUGGGUUGUAAAGCACUGUUGUAUGGAAAGAAAGAUAGAGAUAGGAAAUGAUUUGUAUUUGACGGUACCAUACGAGAAAGCCACGGCUAACUACGUGCCAGCAGCCGCGGUAAUACGUAGGUGGCGAGCGUUAUCCGGAAUUAUUGGGCGUAAAGCGUGCGCAGGCGGUUUAUUAAGUCUAAAAUAAAAGCCCGAAGCUUAACUUCGGUUCGUUUUAGAAACUGAUAGACUAGAGUGCGGUAGAGGCAAAUGGAAUUUCUAGUGUAGCGGUAGAAUGCGUAGAUAUUAGAAGGAACACCAGUGGCGAAGGCGAUUUGCUGGGCCGCAACUGACGCUCAUGCACGAAAGCGUGGGGAGCAAAUAGG
This 429-nucleotide ribosomal RNA is filed under the name uncultured bacterium. RNAcentral describes it as "bacterial SSU rRNA". It matches the Rfam family "Bacterial small subunit ribosomal RNA", at positions 355 to 776 of the family's 1533-position model. The record is from RNAcentral.